UGCCGCUUAGCUCAGACAGGAAGAGCAGCCGGUCGAUAACCGGCAGGUCGUUGGUGCGAAACCAACAGCGACAA
Molecule: transfer RNA, 74 nt
Filed under: Betaproteobacteria bacterium
Lineage: Bacteria; Pseudomonadati; Pseudomonadota; Betaproteobacteria
Description: tRNA-Ile
Source: RNAcentral